This 458-nucleotide ribosomal RNA is filed under the name uncultured bacterium. Its description in RNAcentral is "partial 16S ribosomal RNA". It matches the Rfam family "Bacterial small subunit ribosomal RNA", at positions 338 to 795 of the family's 1533-position model. The record is from RNAcentral.
CCUACGGGCGGCAGCAGUGGGGAAUAUUGCACAAUGGGGGAAACCCUGAUGCAGCGACGCCGCGUGAGUGAAGAAGCGUUUCGGCGCGUAAAGCUCUGUCAGCGGGGAAGAAACACGGUUCGCGAGAGCCGCGGACGGUAGCCGACCAAGAAGCCCCGGCUAACUACGUGCCAGCAGCCGCGGUAAUACGUAGGGGGCAAGCGGUAUCCGGAUUCACUGGGUGUAAAGGGAGCGUAGACGGCGAGGCAAGUCUGGAGUGAAAGGCCGGGGCACAACCCCGGGACUGCUCUGGAAACUGCAUGGCUGGAGUACAGGAGAGGUAAGUGGAAGUCCUAGUGUAGCGGUGAAAUGCGUAGAUAUCAGGAGGAACACCGGCGGCGAAGGCGGCCUGCUGGACUGAAACUGACGUUGAGGCUCGAAAGCGUGGGGAGCAAACAGGAUUAGAUACCCCUGUAGUC